UACGGAGGGGGCGAGCGUUAUUCGGAAUUAUUGGGCGUAAAGGGCGCGUAGGCGGCUGAACAAGUCAAAGGUGAAAUCCCUCGGCUCAACUGAGGAACUGCCUUUGAAACUGUUUGGCUUGAGGCCGGGAGGGGGUAGCGGAAUUCCCAGUGUAGCGGUGAAAUGCGUAGAUACUGGGAGGAACACCAGUGGCGAAGGCGGCUACCUGGACCGGUACUGACGCUGAGGCGCGAAAGCGUGGGUAG
This 245-nucleotide ribosomal RNA is filed under the name uncultured bacterium. Its description in RNAcentral is "partial 16S ribosomal RNA". It matches the Rfam family "Bacterial small subunit ribosomal RNA", at positions 524 to 768 of the family's 1533-position model. The record is from RNAcentral.